Molecule: ribosomal RNA, 235 nt
Filed under: uncultured bacterium
Lineage: Bacteria
Description: partial 16S ribosomal RNA
Rfam family: Bacterial small subunit ribosomal RNA
Source: RNAcentral
UGAGCAAUCUGCCCUUCUCAUCGGAAUAAGCGUUGGAAACGACGUCUAAUGCCGAAUACGACCUCCUUUCGCAUGAUCGGAGGUGGAAAGCUCCGGCGGAGAAGGAUGAGCUCGCGGCCUAUCAGCUAGUUGGUGUGGGUAACGGCCCACCAAGGCGACGACGGGUAGCCGGCCUGAGAGGGUGACCGGCCACACUGGGACUGAGACACGGCCCAGACUCCUACGGGAGGCAGCG